Molecule: ribosomal RNA, 253 nt
Filed under: uncultured bacterium
Lineage: Bacteria
Description: partial 16S ribosomal RNA
Rfam family: Bacterial small subunit ribosomal RNA
Source: RNAcentral
UGUGCCCUACGGGACGCAGCAGUAGGGAAUCUUCCACAAUGGACGAAAGUCUGAUGGAGCAACGCCGCGUGAGUGAAGAAGGGUUUCGGCUCGUAAAGCUCUGUUGUUGGAGAAGAACGUGCGUGAGAGUAACUGUUCACGCAGUGACGGUAUCCAACCAGAAAGUCAAGGCUAACUACGUGCCAGCAGCCGCGGUAAUACGUAGGGGGCAAGCGGUAUCCGGAUUUAUUGGGCGUAAAGCGAGCGCAGGCGG